Molecule: transfer RNA, 79 nt
Filed under: Candidatus Pacearchaeota archaeon CG10_big_fil_rev_8_21_14_0_10_34_12
Lineage: Archaea; Nanobdellati
Description: tRNA-Ser
Rfam family: tRNA
About the family: Transfer RNA (tRNA) molecules are approximately 80 nucleotides in length.
Source: RNAcentral
GCCCGGAUGGCACAAUGGUACUGCAUCCGCCUCGAAAGCGGAGUCCUCGGACAUCCAGGUUCGAUUCCUGGUCGGGGCG